UACUAAAGGUGCAAGCGUUAAUCGGAAUUACUGGGCGUAAAGCGCGCGUAGGUGGUUUGUUAAGUUGGAUGUGAAAGCCCAGGGCUCAACCUUGGAACUGCAUUCAAAACUGACUCACUAGAGUACGAGAGAGGUUAGUGGAAUUUCCUGUGUAGCGGUGAAAUGCGUAGAGAUGGGAAGGAACACCAGUGGCGAAGGCGACUGACUGGCUCGAUACUGACACUGAGGUGCGAAAGCGUGGGGAGCAAACAGG
This 253-nucleotide ribosomal RNA is filed under the name uncultured bacterium. RNAcentral's name for it is "partial 16S ribosomal RNA". It matches the Rfam family "Bacterial small subunit ribosomal RNA", at positions 524 to 776 of the family's 1533-position model. The record is from RNAcentral.